This 275-nucleotide ribosomal RNA is filed under the name uncultured bacterium. Its description in RNAcentral is "partial 16S ribosomal RNA". It matches the Rfam family "Bacterial small subunit ribosomal RNA", at positions 523 to 796 of the family's 1533-position model. The record is from RNAcentral.
AUACGGAGGGGGUUAGCGUUGUUCGGAAUAACUGGGCGUAAAGCGCACGUAGGCGGAAUGUUAAGUUAGAGGUGAAAUCCCAGGGCUCAACCCUGGAACUGCCUUUAAUACUGGCAAUCUACAGACCGAGAGAGGUGAGUGGAAUUCCGAGUGUAGAGGUGAAAUUCGUAGAUAUUCGGAGGAACACCAGUGGCGAAGGCGGCUCACUGGCUCGGUACUGACGCUGAGGUGCGAAAGCGUGGGGAGCAAACAGGAUUAGAAACCCUCAGUAGUCC